Molecule: transfer RNA, 63 nt
Filed under: Platynereis cf. australis PA-2020
Lineage: Eukaryota; Metazoa; Annelida; Polychaeta; Phyllodocida; Nereididae
Description: tRNA-Cys
Source: RNAcentral
GGCCUUGUAGUUGAUUUACAACAUUAAAUUGCAGCUUUAAAAGAGUGUUAACCACCAAGGCUU